AGAGUUUGAUCAUGGCUCAGAUUGAACGCUGGCGGAAUGCUUUACACAUGCAAGUCGAACGGCAGCACGGGCUUCGGUCUGGUGGCGAGUGGCGAACGGGUGAGUAAUAUAUCGGAACGUAUCCAAUAAUGGGGGAUAACUAAUCGAAAGGUUGGCUAAUACCGCAUACGCCCUACGGGGGAAAGCUGGGGACCUUCGGGCCUGGCGUUAAUGGAGCGGCCGAUAUCUGAUUAGCUAGUUGGUGAGGUAAAGGCUCACCAAGGCGACGAUCAGUAGCUGGUCUGAGAGGACGACCAGCCACACUGGAACUGAGACACGGUCCAGACUCCUACGGGAGGCAGCAGUGGGGAAUUUUGGACAAUGGGCGAAAGCCUGAUCCAGCCAUUCCGCGUGAGUGAAGAAGGCCUUCGGGUUGUAAAGCUCUUUCGCAAGGGAAGAAAGAUUACUCUCUAACAUAGAGUGAUUAUGACGGUACCUUGAUAAGAAGCACCGGCUAACUACGUGCCAGCAGCCGCGGUAAUACGUAGGGUGCGAGCGUUAAUCGGAAUUACUGGGCGUAAAGCGUGCGCAGGCGGUUUUGUAAGUCAGAUGUGAAAUCCCCGAGCUCAACUUGGGAACUGCGUUUGAAACUACAAGACUAGAAUAUGUCAGAGGGGGGUAGAAUUCCACGUGUAGCAGUGAAAUGCGUAGAGAUGUGGAGGAGUACCAAUGGCGAAGGCAGCCCCCUGGGAUAAUAUUGACGCUCAUGCACGAAAGCGUGGGGAGCAAACAGGAUUAGAUACCCCGGUAGUCC
RNAcentral lists this ribosomal RNA (793 nucleotides) under uncultured bacterium. RNAcentral's name for it is "bacterial SSU rRNA". It matches the Rfam family "Bacterial small subunit ribosomal RNA", at positions 8 to 796 of the family's 1533-position model. The record is from RNAcentral.